CGAAAGCCUGACGGAGCAAGACCGCGUGGGGGAGGAAGGCUCUAGGGUUGUAAACCCCUUUUCUUUGGGAAGAACAAAAUGACGGUACCAAAGGAAUCAGCCUCGGCUAACUCCGUGCCAGCAGCCGCGGUAAUACGAAAGAGGCAAGCGUUAACCGGAAUGAUUGGGCGUAAAGCGUCCGCAGGUGGCAAUGUAAGUCUGCUGUCAAAACCCAGGGUUCAACUCUGGUCAGGCAGUGGAAACUACAUAGCUAGAGUUCGGUAGGGGCAAAGGGAAUUCCCGGUGUAGCGGUGAAAUGCGUAGAGAUCGGGAAGAACAACGGUGGCGAAAGCGCUUUGCUAGACCGAAACUGACACUGAGGGACGAAAGCUAGGGGAGCG
This 380-nucleotide ribosomal RNA is filed under the name uncultured cyanobacterium. RNAcentral's name for it is "bacterial SSU rRNA". It matches the Rfam family "Bacterial small subunit ribosomal RNA", at positions 376 to 770 of the family's 1533-position model. The record is from RNAcentral. Lineage: Bacteria; Bacillati; Cyanobacteriota.